Picea glauca (white spruce) is the source of this 123-nucleotide non-coding RNA. The record is from Rfam. NCBI's taxonomy places the organism in Eukaryota, Viridiplantae, Streptophyta, Pinopsida, Pinales, Pinaceae.
AUGUACAUGCCUACAACAUACCAUUAAUGCACUAGAUCCCAUUAUAACUCCGCAGUUAAGCAUGCUUAGGCUAGAUUAGUACUGGGAUGGGUGACCACCCACAAAGUCCUAGUGUUUUACAUU